AUGUCAUGGAGGGAGAGUGUCCAAGAGCUGACUAACGUACAGGCAACAUGAAUAAUAUUUGAUAUUCUCACUUACGAACUGAAAUACUUCAAGCAUGUGGGAGAUCCCUGAAUGAGAGGAAUAAAUAUUUUGCAUUGACUUCAAUCACUGUUUACAGUGGAAAGUGAUUUCGUUUCUUGAAAGGCUAAGAUAGUGCCCAGUAGUGGGUUGCAUCGAAGAGCAUAUUGGUCAUAGUGGAGCAGCGCUUUUCCAGGUGCCAAGUGGGAUGCACAGGACCACAAGUGGACACAGCAUGACAGGGGUGGAAGAGAAAAUCUUCAGUGUCACCACACAUGUGAUGUGCUUGUCUCGCAUCAGUGUCAUUCCAGAAGAAAUCCACUGAAGUAUCAAGAAGAAAUCCAUUAAAAGUCUGUGGAAUUGCACCAGCACAAGGUGGCAAGUAGAAACGGAUCCCCUAGAGGAUAUAAUACUUUCUGCUGCCACGGACUAUCCUGUACUUACCAAAACCACUGAUUUCCUUUGAACCAAAAAAUAUUACUGUUUUCCUGAUUGAUUGAAUGUGGCUACGUAUUUCCAAAAACACACAAAGGGUCUUCAAAGUGUCUUGUGUUUUCAGUUGCAAUUGUCAUCACACUUCAAUGCAGUAUGUGCCAUGGCAUGUGUGAAAGCACAGCUGGAUUUCUCUACGAAACCAAAGAUAUUUGCUUUACAGGCCUGUACACACAGUCCACACAAUCUGCCAACAGCCAAAUGUGUUGGGCUACCAUUUCUAGUGGAGGAUCAAAGACUAUAUUUAAAUGCUUCUAAUUUGACAUCCAAGUAACUACAGACAAUCACAGGCGGUGGGAGUGGCAGCGAGUUGGCAAGAGGAAAAGGAGAUAUUAAAAGAGCGUGUUUGCUGGGUGUACAUGUGCAAAUUUGGCUGGCUGUGCAAGCCGGAUAGGUGGGAUGCAAGCUUUUUGUGCAUGGGAGUGGUGCUCUCACCUCUUGGGCUAACUCCCCUCUGUGGCAGCAGCACAGCUCUCCAUGCAGGAGAGCCUAUGCCGACCAGCUGGGAAGCAGCAGGGCUCCUGGGAAAGGGCUAUUGAGCACACCAUCUUCAAAGUCCACCCAUGGCACUCAGAUGCAUGCGGGCAGAGUGGACAACUCCCAGACCUUUUCCAGCUCUUCUUGCCUCAACAUAGAAGAGAGCAUUUUUGUCCGUGUGGUGGUGACCUGGCUUCCCAUUCCUGCCCUGCCUGGAGUCUGAAGACUGGUUUUGGCCUAGGCAGUGAAAGAGGAGAGCAUUUCUGGUUGUCUGGUGGGAAUCACCUCGCCUUCUUGCCCCAUGGUUUCCCUCUAGGGAACAAGAAAGUUUUGGCAGGAGCCAGGAAGACCUAAGGCAGAAGAAUAAGCAGGCACUUCAGUAAGUGAGGCUGGAAGCUUUUGUCUGUUUAUUUUGCAGUCUUUCCUCUUCAUGGCUUUGUGACAGGAAAGGGAAAAACUGCUUCCUGGACCACAAACAGCAACAGAAAAAGACCCUGAAAAUGAUAACUGGUGCAGAUCAAAGAAGUGUUACAUGGAACAGCCUGGAAACAGCUCCAUCUCCUCCCCUGCCCCAGAGGGAAUGUCACAUGGGGAGGUAAUGAUGCUGAAAGUGGCCUCAUUGUUGCGUUCUUUUAAUGCCAUUCUUUCAUUUCUAUAAAA
This is a long non-coding RNA of Cuculus canorus (common cuckoo), 1686 nucleotides long. RefSeq lists it as uncharacterized. The transcript is spliced from 5 exons. Lineage: Eukaryota; Metazoa; Chordata; Aves; Cuculiformes; Cuculidae. The record is from RefSeq and is a predicted model, not a curated record.